AACGAACGCUGGCGGCAUGCCUAACACAUGCAAGUCGAACGAGACCUUCGGGUCUAGUGGCGCACUGGUGCGUAACGCGUUGGAACCUUCCCUUAUGUUCGGAAUAACUCCCCUAACGGGGUGCUAAUACCGGUUAAUGUCUUCGGACCAAAGAUUUAUCGCCUUUGGAUGGGCCCGCGUUGGAUUAGCUAGUUGGUAGGGUAAAAGCCUACCAAGGCGACGAUCCAUAGCUGGUCUGAGAGGAUGAUCAGCCACACUGGGAAUGAGACACGGCCCAGACUGCUACGGGAGGAAGCAGUGGGGAAUAGUGGAAAAUGGGCGAAAGCCUGAGCAAGCAAUGCCGGGUGAGUGAUGAAGGCAUUAGGGUAGUAAAGCUGUGUUACAAGGGAUGAUAAUGACAGGAACGGGAGAAUAAGCUCCGGCUAACUCCGUG
RNAcentral lists this ribosomal RNA (433 nucleotides) under uncultured bacterium. RNAcentral's name for it is "partial 16S ribosomal RNA". It matches the Rfam family "Bacterial small subunit ribosomal RNA", at positions 29 to 507 of the family's 1533-position model. The record is from RNAcentral.